UGGGGAAUUUUGGACAAUGGGCGAAAGCCUGAUCCAGCAAUGCCGCGUGUGUGAAGAAGGCCUUCGGGUUGUAAAGCACUUUUGUCCGGAAAGAAAUGGCUCUGGUUAAUACCUGGGGUCGAUGACGGUACCGGAAGAAUAAGGACCGGCUAACUACGUGCCAGCAGCCGCGGUAAUACGUAGGGUCCAAGCGUUAAUCGGAAUUACUGGGCGUAAAGCGUGCGCAGGCGGUUGUGCAAGACCGAUGUGAAAUCCCCGAGCUUAACUUGGGAAUUGCAUUGGUGACUGCACGGCUAGAGUGUGUCAGAGGGGGGUAGAAUUCCACGUGUAGCAGUGAAAUGCGUGGAGAUGUGGAGGAAUACCGAUGGCGAAGGCAGCCCCCUGGGAUAACACUGACGCUCAUGCACGAAAGCGUGGGGAGCAAACAGG
RNAcentral lists this ribosomal RNA (429 nucleotides) under Bacillota bacterium. RNAcentral describes it as "Firmicutes bacterium partial 16S ribosomal RNA". It matches the Rfam family "Bacterial small subunit ribosomal RNA", at positions 355 to 776 of the family's 1533-position model. Lineage: Bacteria; Bacillati; Bacillota. The record is from RNAcentral.